Molecule: unclassified non-coding RNA, 253 nt
Filed under: uncultured Gammaproteobacteria bacterium
Lineage: Bacteria; Pseudomonadati; Pseudomonadota; Gammaproteobacteria
Description: contains 16S-23S intergenic spacer region
Rfam family: Bacterial small subunit ribosomal RNA
Source: RNAcentral
UACAGAGAGUGCAAGCGUUAAUCGGAAUUACUGGGCGUAAAGCGCGCGUAGGUGGAUAUUUAAGUCGGAUGUGAAAGCCCUGGGCUUAACCUAGGAACUGCACCCGUUACUGAAUGUCUAGAGUAUAGUAGAGGGAAGUGGAAUUUCCGGUGUAGCGGUGAAAUGCGUAGAUAUCGGAAAGAACACCAGUGGCGAAGGCGACUUCCUGGACUAAUACUGACACUGAGGCGCGAAAGCGUGGGGAGCAAACAGG